RNAcentral lists this ribosomal RNA (253 nucleotides) under uncultured bacterium. Its description in RNAcentral is "partial 16S ribosomal RNA". It matches the Rfam family "Bacterial small subunit ribosomal RNA", at positions 524 to 776 of the family's 1533-position model. The record is from RNAcentral.
UACGAAGGGGGCUAACGUUGUUCGGAUUUACUGGGCGUAAAGCGCGUUCAGGCGGUUUGGCAAGUCGGGCAUGAAAUCUCUCGGCUCAACCGGGAGAGGUUGUCCGAUACUGCUGGACUUGAGGGCAGUAGAGGGUGGUGGAAUUCCGGGUGUAGUGGUGAAAUGCGUAGAUAUCCGGAGGAACACCAGUGGCGAAAGCGGCCACCUGGACUGCACCUGACGCUGACACGCGAAAGCUAGGGGAGCGAACGGG